RNAcentral lists this ribosomal RNA (510 nucleotides) under uncultured bacterium. RNAcentral describes it as "partial 16S ribosomal RNA". It matches the Rfam family "Bacterial small subunit ribosomal RNA", at positions 28 to 507 of the family's 1533-position model. The record is from RNAcentral.
GACGAACGCUGGCGGCGUGCUUAACACAUGCAAGUCGAACGAAGAGCGAUGGAAGCUUGCUUCUAUCAAUCUUAGUGGCGAACGGGUGAGUAACGCGUAAUCAACCUGCCCUUCAGAGGGGGACAACAGUCGGAAACGACUGCUAAUACCGCAUACGAUCUAAUCUCGGCAUCGAGGAUAGAUGAAAGGUGGCCUCUACAUGUAAGCUAUCACUGAAGGAGGGGAUUGCGUCUGAUUAGCUAGUUGGAGGGGUAACGGCCCACCAAGGCGAUGAUCAGUAGCCGGUCUGAGAGGAUGAACGGCCACAUUGGGACUGAGACACGGCCCAGACUCCUACGGGAGGCAGCAGCGGGGAAUCUUCCGCAAUGGACGAAAGUCUGACGGAGCAACGCCGCGUGAGUGAUGACGGCCUUCGGGCUGUAAAGCUCUGUUAAUCGGGACGAAAGGCCUUCUUGCGAAUAGUGAGAAGGAUUGACGGUACCGGAAUAGAAAGCCACGGCUAACUACGUG